RNAcentral lists this ribosomal RNA (373 nucleotides) under uncultured organism. RNAcentral's name for it is "bacterial SSU rRNA". It matches the Rfam family "Bacterial small subunit ribosomal RNA", at positions 526 to 896 of the family's 1533-position model. The record is from RNAcentral.
CGUAGGGGGCGUAGCGUUGUCCGGAUUUAUUGGGCGUAAAGAGCGUGUAGGCGGCCGAGUAAGUCCGGUGUGAAAACUCGAGGCUUAACCUCGAGAUGUCAUCGGAAACUAUUCGGCUAGAGUCCGGAAGAGGAGAGUGGAAUUCCUGGUGUAGCGGUGAAAUGCGCAGAUAUCAGGAAGAACACCUAUGGCGAAAGCAGCUCUCUGGGACGGUACUGACGCUGAGACGCGAAAGCGUGGGGAGCGAACAGGAUUAGAUACCCUGGUAGUCCACGCCGUAAACGAUGGGUGCUAGGUGUGGGCGGUGUCGACUCCGUCCGUGCCGAAGCUAACGCAUUAAGCACCCCGCCUGGGGAGUACGGCCGCAAGGCUA